Long non-coding RNA from Schistocerca piceifrons (Central American locust), 577 nucleotides. RefSeq lists it as uncharacterized. The transcript is spliced from 3 exons. The record is from RefSeq and is a predicted model, not a curated record. Lineage: Eukaryota; Metazoa; Arthropoda; Insecta; Orthoptera; Acrididae.
UACGAUACGGAGGGCCUCCGCUGCUCGCUGCUAGUGGGGGAGCCAAGCACGCGCGUGCGCUGCCAGAAAAAAACGCUCGUGCGGCGAAAGUGAAAAGCAAAGGGAGGGGGCGGCGCCGCGGAAAAUGGAUAGGUGACUUUUCCCUCACCCGGCACCCCUCGUGAAAGAAGCCCCUGGGCCCCAAGACACGGACGCGGGCCAAGCGUUGCAGUGUUGUGGUACCUGGUCGCUGGCGCUCUGUGCAACAGCGCAAUGCGCCCCAUUUGACGAACAUCCCGACGUACUGGCUGAAUGACGGCGCGGAGACGGCGCCGAAACAUGUCCGACUUCACGGAUAUAAGUUUCUAAGCAGUGAAGUAACAAGAGUAAUAAUAUCUUGGAAUUAUUAUCGAACAAUCACCAAACGAUAAAGAGAGAAUGUGGCAGGACAUCGAGAGCGUUCUGCUGGGAGACAGUCACUCAGGAGACCAGCGGUACCCUGCGCCGGCCUGCGCCCCAGCGGUCGACGCGCCGCCCGCUCCUGCCCCUGCACUGCCUGGCGCCGCCGCCACCUCCGCCGCCGACGGGCACAAGUACG